Molecule: long non-coding RNA, 90 nt
Organism: Ipomoea nil (Japanese morning glory)
Lineage: Eukaryota; Viridiplantae; Streptophyta; Magnoliopsida; Solanales; Convolvulaceae
Exons: 3
Source: RefSeq, a predicted model, not a curated record
GAAUUAGUUUACAAUAUAGGUUAUUUCUAGCUAGGAGAAAGAUAAAUGGAUGACAGGUAUGAUUGAGGCGAUGGAAUCUUUACAUUAGAA